This 422-nucleotide ribosomal RNA is filed under the name uncultured bacterium. RNAcentral's name for it is "bacterial SSU rRNA". It matches the Rfam family "Bacterial small subunit ribosomal RNA", at positions 355 to 774 of the family's 1533-position model. The record is from RNAcentral.
UAAGGAAUAUUGGACAAUGGAGGCAACUCUGAUCCAGCCAUGCCGCGUGAAGGAAUAAGGCCCUAUGGGUUGUAAACUUCUUUUAGACGGGACAAAACCCCUUUACGUGUAAAGGGUUGAUGGUACUGUCAGAAUAAGCAUCGGCUAACUUCGUGCCUGCAGCCGCGGUAAUACGAAGGAUGCAAGCGUUAUCCGGAAUUAUUGGGUUUAAAGGGUGCGUAGGCGGACUAAUAAGUCAGUGGUGAAAGCCUGCAGCUUAACUGCAGAAUUUCCAUUGAUACUGUUAGUCUUGAGUACAGUUGAGGUAGGCGGAAUGUGUCAUGUAGCGGUGAAAUGCUUAGAUAUGACACAGAACACCGAUUGCGAAGGCAGCUUGCUAAGCUGUAACUGACGCUGAGGCACGAAAGCGUGGGGAGCAAACA